AGUCUCGUUCGUUAUCGGAAUGAGAACAAUUCAAAUCCUUUAACGAGGAUCUAGCGGAGGGCAAGUCUGGUGCCAGCAGCCGCGGUAAUUCCAGCUCCGCAGGUGUAUAUCUAUGCUGCUGCGGUUAAAAAGCUCGUAGUUGGAUCUGCGUGCUCGGAACUGGUUGGCUCACUGAGUUCAAACUGGUCUCCGGCGCUUUAUUGGCUGGUUUUCCCUUGAUGCUCUUAACCGGGUGUCUUGGGUGGCUAGCACGUUUACUUUGAAAAAAUUAGAGUGCUCAAUACAGGCGUAAAGCCUUGAAUAGUGGUGCAUGGAAUAAUAGAAUAGGACCUCGGCUCUAUUUUGUUGGUUUUCGGAACGCGAGGUAAUGAUUAAGAGGGACAGACGGGGGCAUUCGUAUUGCGACGUUAGAGGUGAAAUUCUUGGAUCGUCGCAAGACGGACGACUGCGAAAGCAUUUGCCAAGAAUGUUUUCAUUAAUCAAGAACGAAAGUUAGAGGUUCGAAGGCGAUCAGAUACCGCCCUAGUUCUAACCGUAAACGAUGCCAACUAGCGAUUCGCAGGCGUUAAACAACGACCUUGCGGGCAGCUUCCCGGAAACGAAAGUGUUCGGGUUCCGGGGGAAGUAUGGUUGCAAAGCUGAAACUUAAAGGAAUUGACGGAAGGGCACCACCAGGAGUGGAGCCUGCGGCUUAAUUUGACACAACACGGGAAAACUCACCCGGCCCGGACACCGUAAGGAUUGACAGAUUGAGAGCUCUUUCUUGAUUCGGUGGGUGGUGGUGCAUGGCCGUUCUUAGUUGGUGGAGCGAUUUGUCUGGUUUAUUCCGAUAACGAACGAGACUCUGGCCUACUAAAUAGUGGGCGGAUUCUUUCUGUCCGCAACACUUCUUAGAGGGACAAGCGGUGUUCAGCCGCACGAGAUUGAGCAAUAACAGGUCUGUGAUGCCCUUAGAUGUCCGGGGCUGCACGCGCGCUACACUGAAGGAAUCAGCGUGCUUUCUGACCUUGCCCGAAAGGGCUGGGUAACCCGAUGAAAAUCCUUCGUGAUUGGGAUAGGGACUUGCAAUUAUUUCCCUUGAACGAGGAAUUCCCAGUAAGUGUGGGUCAUAAGCUCGCGUUGAUUACGUCCCUGCCCUUUGUACACACCGCCCGUCGCUGCCCGGAACUGAGCCGUUUCGAGAAGAACAGGGACCGUCGUUGAAGGGCCUUAACGGGCUUUUCUCUGAUAGAAACUGUU
This 1239-nucleotide ribosomal RNA is filed under the name metagenome. RNAcentral's name for it is "SSU rRNA". It matches the Rfam family "Eukaryotic small subunit ribosomal RNA", at positions 495 to 1758 of the family's 1831-position model. The record is from RNAcentral.